This 288-nucleotide RNase P RNA is filed under the name bovine gut metagenome. Its description in RNAcentral is "Bacterial RNase P class A". It matches the Rfam family "Bacterial RNase P class A", at positions 53 to 357 of the family's 367-position model. Rfam says of the family: Ribonuclease P (RNase P) is a ubiquitous endoribonuclease, found in archaea, bacteria and eukarya as well as chloroplasts and mitochondria. The record is from RNAcentral.
CGGGCUCCACAGGGCAAGGAUAACGGGUAACGCCCGCCGAAGGCGACUUCAGGAAAAGUGCAACAGAGAGAUACCGCCCCGCGAAAGCGGAGCAAGGGUGGAAAAGUGAGGUAAGAGCUCACUCGCCGGCUGGAGACUGUCCGGCGCUGUAAACUCUAUCCGGAGCAACACCGUGGAGGAGACACAUGGUUGGCCCGACCGUCUCCGAGGAGGUGGCACAGAGCGUAUCGGCAACGGUACGACAAGAUAGAUGGCUGUCUAAGACAGAACCCGGCUUACAGACCCGAU